GAUGAACGCUGGCGGCGUGCCUAAUACAUGCAAGUCGAGCGCACGGAGGAGAACUUUGUUUCCUGGAUGAUUGCGGCAGGCGGGAGUGUCACGUGUGGAUAAUCCAUCGUAGAGAGGGGGAAAACUUGGGGACACCGGAUAUAAUACCAGAAAAUAUGAUGAACCGUAUGGUUCAAUAGAGAGAUGCGGUUUUGUCGCUACCAAAUGGAGGUGCCGGGUUGUAUUUGCUAGGUGGGAUGGUAACGGAUUACCAAGGCAACGAUGCAUAGCCGACCGGGGAGGGUGAUCGGCCACACUGGAACUGAGACCCGGCCCAGACUCCUACGGGAGGCAGCAGUAGGGAAUCUUCCGCAAUGGGCGAAAGCCUGACGGAGCAACCCCGCGUGAGUGAUAAAGGUCUUCGGAUCGUAAAACUCUGUUAUUAGGGAAGAACAUAUGUGUAAGUAACUGUGCACAUCUUGACGGUACCUAAUCAGAAAGCCACGGCUAACUACGUG
Molecule: ribosomal RNA, 497 nt
Filed under: uncultured bacterium
Lineage: Bacteria
Description: partial 16S ribosomal RNA
Rfam family: Bacterial small subunit ribosomal RNA
Source: RNAcentral